CAGCAGCCGCCGCGGUAAUACAGAGGGUGCGAGCGUUAAUCGGAUUUACUGGGCGUAAAGCGUGCGUAGGCGGCUUCUUAAGUCGGAUGUGAAAUCCCUGAGCUUAACUUAGGAAUUGCAUUCGAUACUGGGAAGCUAGAGUAUGGGAGAGGAUGGUAGAAUUCCAGGUGUAGCGGUGAAAUGCGUAGAGAUCUGGAGGAAUACCGAUGGCGAAGGCAGCCAUCUGGCCUAAUACUGACGCUGAGGUACGAAAGCAUGGGGAGCAAACAGGAUUAGAUACCCCCGUAGUCCCUGUCUCUUAUAA
Molecule: ribosomal RNA, 304 nt
Filed under: uncultured bacterium
Lineage: Bacteria
Description: partial 16S ribosomal RNA
Rfam family: Bacterial small subunit ribosomal RNA
Source: RNAcentral